AGUGAACGCUGGCGGUAGGCCUAACACAUGCAAGUCGAACGGCAGCACAGUAAGAGCUUGCUCUUACGGGUGGCGAGUGGCGGACGGGUGAGGAAUACAUCGGAAUCUACUUUUUCGUGGGGGAUAACGUAGGGAAACUUACGCUAAUACCGCAUACGACCUACGGGUGAAAGCAGGGGAUCUUCGGACCUUGCGCGAUUGAAUGAGCCGAUGUCGGAUUAGCUAGUUGGCGGGGGAAAGGCCCACCAAGGCGACGAUCCGUAGCUGGUCUGAGAGGAUGAUCAGCCACACUGGAACUGAGACACGGUCCGGACUCCUACGGGAGGCAGCAGUGUGGAAUAUUGGACAAUGGGCGCAAGCCUGAUCCAGCCAUACCGCGUGGGUGAAGAAGGCCUUCGGGUUGUAAAGCCCUUUUGUUGGGAAAGAAGAGCAGCAGGUUAAUACCCCGCUGUUCUGACGGUACCCAAAGAAUAAGCACCGGCUAACUUCGUG
RNAcentral lists this ribosomal RNA (492 nucleotides) under uncultured bacterium. Its description in RNAcentral is "partial 16S ribosomal RNA". It matches the Rfam family "Bacterial small subunit ribosomal RNA", at positions 29 to 507 of the family's 1533-position model. The record is from RNAcentral.